RNAcentral lists this ribosomal RNA (882 nucleotides) under Serratia marcescens. Its description in RNAcentral is "bacterial SSU rRNA". It matches the Rfam family "Bacterial small subunit ribosomal RNA", at positions 19 to 873 of the family's 1533-position model. The record is from RNAcentral. Lineage: Bacteria; Pseudomonadati; Pseudomonadota; Gammaproteobacteria; Enterobacterales; Yersiniaceae.
CCUGCUCAGAUUGAACGCUGGCGGCAGGCUUAACACAUGCAAGUCGAGCGGUAGCACAGGGGAGCUUGCUCCCUGGGUGACGAGCGGCGGACGGGUGAGUAAUGUCUGGGAAACUGCCUGAUGGAGGGGGAUAACUACUGGAAACGGUAGCUAAUACCGCAUAACGUCGCAAGACCAAAGAGGGGGACCUUCGGGCCUCUUGCCAUCAGAUGUGCCCAGAUGGGAUUAGCUAGUAGGUGGGGUAAUGGCUCACCUAGGCGACGAUCCCUAGCUGGUCUGAGAGGAUGACCAGCCACACUGGAACUGAGACACGGUCCAGACUCCUACGGGAGGCAGCAGUGGGGAAUAUUGCACAAUGGGCGCAAGCCUGAUGCAGCCAUGCCGCGUGUGUGAAGAAGGCCUUCGGGUUGUAAAGCACUUUCAGCGAGGGAGGAAGGUGGUGAACUUAAUACGUUCAUCAAUUGACGUUACUCGCAGAAGAAGCACCGGCUAACUCCGUGCCAGCAGCCGCGGUAAUACGGAAGGGUGCAAGCGUUAAUCGGAAUUACUGGGCGUAAAGCGCACGCAGGCGGUUUGUUAAGUCAGAUGUGAAAUCCCCGGGCUCAACCCUGGGAACUGCAUUUGAAACUGGCAAGCUAGAGUCUCGUAGAGGGGGGUAGAAUUCCAGGUGUAGCGGUGAAAUGCGUAGAGAUCUGGAGGAAUACCGGGUGGGAAGGGCGGCCCCCUGGACGAAGACUGACGCUCAGGUGCGAAAGCGUGGGGAGCAAACAGGAUUAGAUACCCUGGUAGUCCACGCUGUAAACGAUGUCGAUUUGGAGGUUGUGCCCUUGAGGCGUGGCUUCCGGAGCUAACGCGUAAAUCGACCGCUGGGAGACGCCGCCC